UGCAGUCGAACGGCAGCACGGGAGCAAUCCUGGUGGCGAGUGGCGAACGGGUGAGUAAUAUAUCGGAACGUGCCCAGUCGUGGGGGAUAACGUAGCGAAAGCUACGCUAAUACCGCAUACGAUCUAUGGAUGAAAGCGGGGGAUCGAAAGACCUCGCGCGAUUGGAGCGGCCGAUAUCAGAUUAGGUAGUUGGUGAGGUAAAGGCUCACCAAGCCGACGAUCUGUAGCUGGUCUGAGAGGACGACCAGCCACACUGGGACUGAGACACGGCCCAGACUCCUACGGGAGGCAGCAGUGGGGAAUUUUGGACAAUGGGCGCAAGCCUGAUCCAGCAAUGCCGCGUGCAGGAUGAAGGCCUUCGGGUUGUAAACUGCUUUUGUACGGAACGAAACGGUGAGCUCUAAUACAGUUUGCUAAUGACGGUACCGUAAGAAUAAGCACCGGCUAACUACGUGCCAGCAGCCGCGGUAAUACGUAGGGUGCGAGCGUUAAUCGGAAUUACUGGGCGUAAAGCGUGCGCAGGCGGUGAUGUAAGACAGAUGUGAAAUGCCCGGGCUCAACCUGGGACCUGCAUUUGUGACUGCAUCGCUAGAGUACGGUAGAGGGGGGAUGGAAUUCCCGCGUGUAGCAGUGAAAUGCGUAGAUAUGCGGAGGAACACCGAUGGCGAANGGCAUCCCCUGGACCUGUACUGACGCUCAUGCACG
RNAcentral lists this ribosomal RNA (705 nucleotides) under uncultured bacterium. RNAcentral describes it as "bacterial SSU rRNA". It matches the Rfam family "Bacterial small subunit ribosomal RNA", at positions 56 to 755 of the family's 1533-position model. The record is from RNAcentral.